RNAcentral lists this unclassified non-coding RNA (322 nucleotides) under uncultured fungus. RNAcentral describes it as "sequence contains ITS1". The stretch from base 1 to 105 matches the Rfam family "5.8S ribosomal RNA", at positions 50 to 154 of the family's 154-position model. The record is from RNAcentral. Lineage: Eukaryota; Fungi.
GAAAUGCGAUACGCAAUGCGAAUUGCAGAAUUCCGCGAAUCAUCAGAUCUUUGAACGCAACUGGCGCUGAAAGGAUAUCCUUCCAGCAUGCUUGUUUCAGUGUCUAGAAAUCUUACAAAAACAUAAUGUGAUUGAAGUGGCAUUUUUAACUAAAUCCACAUCUCUCAUUAAAUAUGUAAGUGUGGAUCUUUUGAUCCAACGAAGUAGUCACAUAAUUUAUGUGAUUUCGUUGUGAAUUCAAAUUAUCCAAAAAAACACUUAGAAAACUAAAAAUUUCUUCAAUAUGCAUCUGAAAUCAAGCAAGGUUACCUGCUGAACUUAA